Molecule: long non-coding RNA, 585 nt
Organism: Esox lucius (northern pike)
Lineage: Eukaryota; Metazoa; Chordata; Actinopteri; Esociformes; Esocidae
Source: Ensembl
GGGUAAUAGAUUUGUCCAGUUGAGGGUUGUGUAUGUGGGGAGAGGUUAUAGAUUUGUCCAGUUGAGGGUUGUGUGUGUAUGUGGGGUGGGGUUAUAGAUUUGUCCAGUUGAGGGUUGUGUGUGUAUGUGGGGAGAGGUUAUAGAUUUGUCCAGUAGAGGGUUGUGUGUGUAUGUGGGGUGGGGUUAUAGAUUUGUCCAGGUGAGGGUUGUGUGUAUGUGGGGAGAGGUUAUAGAUUUGUCCAAUUGAGGGUUGUGUGUGUAUGUGGGGAGGGGUUAUAGAUUUGUCCAGUUGAGGGUUGUGUGUGUAUGUGGGGAGGGGUUAUAGAUUUGUCCAGUUGAGGGUUGUGUGUAUGUGGGGAGAGGUUAUAGAUUUGUCCAGUUGAGGGUUGUGUGUAUGUGGGGAGGGGUUAUAGAUUUGUCCAGUUGAGGGUUGUGUGUAUGUAUGUGGGGAGGGGUUAUAGAUUUGUCCAGUUGAGGGUUGUGUGUGUAUGUGGGGAGGGGUUAUAGAUUUGUCCAGUUGAGGGUUGUGUGUAUGUGGGGAGGGGUUAUAGAUUUGUCCAGUUGAGGGUUGUGUGUGUGUAUGUG